GAUGAACGCUGGCGGCGUGCCUAAUACAUGCAAGUCGAGCGAAUGGAUUAAGAGCUUGCUCUUAUGAAGUUAGCGGCGGACGGGUGAGUAACACGUGGGUAACCUGCCCAUAAGACUGGGAUAACUCCGGGAAACCGGGGCUAAUACCGGAUAACAUUUUGAACCGCAUGGUUCGAAAUUGAAAGGCGGCUGCGCCUGUCACUUAUGGAUGGACCCGCGUCGCAUUAGCUAGUUGGUGAGGUAACGGCUCACCAAGGCAACGAUGCGUAGCCGACCUGAGAGGGUGAUCGGCCACACUGGGACUGAGACACGGCCCAGACUCCUACGGGAGGCAGCAGUAGGGAAUCUUCCGCAAUGGACGAAGUCUGACGGAGCAACGCCGCGUGAGUGAUGAAGGCUUUCGGGUCGUAAAACUCUGUUGUUAGGGAAGAACAAGUGCUAGUUGAAUAAGCUGGCACCUUGACGGUACCUAACCAGAAAGCCACGGCUAACUACGUGCCAGCAGCCGCAGUAA
RNAcentral lists this ribosomal RNA (514 nucleotides) under uncultured bacterium. RNAcentral's name for it is "partial 16S ribosomal RNA". It matches the Rfam family "Bacterial small subunit ribosomal RNA", at positions 28 to 523 of the family's 1533-position model. The record is from RNAcentral.